CUACGGGUGGCUCCAGCUAGGAAACUUCUACAAUGUACGAAAGUAUGAUAGAGCAAGCCAGAGUGCUUUCAUAUAAUUUGAAAGCUUUUGUGAGAUGUAAAAAGUCUCACGAAUAAGGACUGGGUAAGACUGGUGCCAGCCGCCGCGGUAAUACCAGCGGUCCAAGUCGCAGCCACUUUUAUUGGGUCUAAAACAUCCGUAGCUUGCUUCGUCAGUCUUGUGUGAAAUCUGGCAUCUUAAGUGUCGGGCGCGCGCGAGAUACUGCGGAGCUUGAGACCGGGAGGACGUGAAGAGUACGGUUAGGGUAGCGGUAAAAUGCGUUGAUCCUUACUGGACUAACGAUAGCGAAGGCACUUCACGAGAACGGAUCUGACAGUGAGGGAUGAAGGCUAGGGGCGCAAAACGGAUUAGAUACCCGAGUAGUC
Molecule: ribosomal RNA, 425 nt
Filed under: uncultured archaeon
Lineage: Archaea
Description: partial 16S ribosomal RNA
Rfam family: Archaeal small subunit ribosomal RNA
Source: RNAcentral